AUUUUUUUUCUUUCUUCAUUCCUUAAUUUUCUUCUCCCUUCUCUCUCCUCCCCUUACUCUUAUCAUUCACCCCAUCAGUUGACGCUUUAGCCGGAUCUAUGCUUUCAUGAACGAUUUUCAAUUUUAUUUCCAUCUUGUUUUCAUUGAAGUCCUUGGUAGCCAAUUCCAAAGGGUAAAUAAUUUAUAAAUAAAAUUUUGAACAACAAAUCACCAUAUCAUUACUCUGCACGCCUUUUGCUCUAAUAAUUAUUAUAAUUACACCGAACUUGCUGUUUCCCAAGCUUAAGGAUUUGUGACUGUUGAAGAGGUAGAGAGACAAAUCUCCCGGUCUUCUGGUCGUGCUACUGAUGCCCUUGAAAUUUUACUGGACGUAAUUUACUUCUGCCAUUCUUCCUUCUUCUUGUUUCCAUAAAUUAUCUUAUAAUUUUUCAUCAUGUUUUUUUUUUUCAGAACUCUUUUGUGGCUUCAGGAUCGGGUUCGGGCGACGAUAACAAAUGUCUUCGGGUCUUGGUUUCGGAAUCAGGUUCUUACGGAUUGAUUCGGUUUCAGGAUGGCGGAUGACUUUAGAUCGAAUUUCAUGAUUGGCUGAGUUCGUAGAUGGGUAUUUCCAUCCGCCUGAGUUCCCAAAUUAGUUUGAUGCUUGAUAGGAGUAAGGGGAGGAGAGAGAAUGGAGAAAAAAAGAAAUGAAAAAAGAAUGUAAAAAAUAAAUAAAUUAAGUUUAUGCGGAUCUCAAAAUUUUUUAUACCCAGUGUCUGCAUAUUAAUACUGUGGACGGAGAAAUUGUAAAUGAGGGGUAUUUUAGUAAUCCGUUCCGUCCGCAGUAUUAAACUGCGAAAUAUUAAAAAUUAAACUGCAAACAAAAAUUUGAUUAGAUAUAGGUCAUGAUGUGUUGUAAGGCUAAUUUUUUUUUUAUAAUAUUAACUAUGAAUC
RNAcentral lists this long non-coding RNA (930 nucleotides) under Panax ginseng (ginseng). RNAcentral's name for it is "long non-coding RNA (PGIN_LNC013334)". The record is from RNAcentral. Lineage: Eukaryota; Viridiplantae; Streptophyta; Magnoliopsida; Apiales; Araliaceae.